GACGAACGCUGGCGGCGUGCCUAACACAUGCAAGUCGAACGGGGGUAAUUUCUUCGGAGAUUACUUAGUGGCGAACGGGUGAGUAACGCGUGAGAAACCUGCCUUUCAGUGGGGGACAACAGUUGGAAACGACUGCUAAUACCGCAUAAUGUCAUUUAGGGGCAUCCCUUAAUGACCAAAGCUUUAUGUGCUGAAAGAUGGUCUCGCGUCUGAUUAGCUAGAUGGCGGGGUAACGGCCCACCAUGGCGACGAUCAGUAGCCGGUCUGAGAGGAUGAACGGCCACAUUGGGACUGAGAUACGGCCCAGACUCCUACGGGAGGCAGCAGUGGGGAAUAUUGGGGCAAUGGGCGAAAGGCCUGACCCAGCGACGCCGCGUGAGGGAGAAGAUACUUCGGAUUGUAAACCUUAGUCAACAGGGAAGAAGAAAGUGACGGUACCUGUGGAGGAAGCCACGGCUAACUACGUG
This 467-nucleotide ribosomal RNA is filed under the name uncultured bacterium. RNAcentral's name for it is "bacterial SSU rRNA". It matches the Rfam family "Bacterial small subunit ribosomal RNA", at positions 28 to 507 of the family's 1533-position model. The record is from RNAcentral.